AUUGAACGCUGGCAGCAUGCCUUACACAUGCAAGUCGAACGGUAACGCGGGGCAACCUGGCGACGAGUGGCGAACGGGUGAGUAAUACAUCGGAACGUGCCCAGUAGUGGGGGAUAGCCCGGCGAAAGCCGGAUUAAUACCGCAUACGACCUACGGGUGAAAGCAGGGGAUCGCAAGACCUUGCGCUAUUGGAGCGGCCGAUGUCAGAUUAGGUUGUUGGUGGGGUAAAAAGCCUACCAAGCCGACGAUCUGUAGCUGGUCUGAGAGGACGACCAGCCACACUGGGACUGAGACACGGCCCAGACUCCUACGGGAGGCAGCAGUGGGGAAUUUUGGACAAUGGGCGCAAGCCUGAUCCAGCCAUGCCGCGUGCGGGAAGAAGGCCUUCGGGUUG
Molecule: ribosomal RNA, 394 nt
Filed under: uncultured bacterium
Lineage: Bacteria
Description: bacterial SSU rRNA
Rfam family: Bacterial small subunit ribosomal RNA
Source: RNAcentral